GUGAAUCAUCAAAUUUUUGAACGCAAAUUGCACUCUCUUCGGAGAGUAUGCCUGUUUGAGGGUCAGCCUAAAAAAAAUCGACAUAGUUGCUGUUACGCGGUAACAUUCGUCGGAAAUUGGUUCAUCUUAAACCUUUGGUUUAAGCCGGUUUAAAUUUUUUUUUAGAAUUCAAGGAAGGUUUUUAAGUUUUUAUUUUUUUUAACUUUAAGGGUU
Molecule: unclassified non-coding RNA, 213 nt
Filed under: Glomus sp.
Lineage: Eukaryota; Fungi; Glomeromycota; Glomeromycetes; Glomerales; Glomeraceae
Description: partial contains 5.8S ribosomal RNA and internal transcribed spacer 2
Rfam family: 5.8S ribosomal RNA (bases 1-65)
Source: RNAcentral